RNAcentral lists this ribosomal RNA (465 nucleotides) under Vreelandella stevensii. RNAcentral's name for it is "partial 16S ribosomal RNA". It matches the Rfam family "Bacterial small subunit ribosomal RNA", at positions 338 to 795 of the family's 1533-position model. The record is from RNAcentral. Lineage: Bacteria; Pseudomonadati; Pseudomonadota; Gammaproteobacteria; Oceanospirillales; Halomonadaceae.
CCUACGGGUGGCAGCAGUGGGGAAUAUUGGACAAUGGGCGAAAGCCUGAUCCAGCCAUGCCGCGUGUGUGAAGAAGGCCUUCGGGUUGUAAAGCACUUUCAGUGGGGAAGAAAGCCUUGGGGCUAAUACCCUCGAGGAAGGACAUCACCCACAGAAGAAGCACCGGCUAACUCCGUGCCAGCAGCCGCGGUAAUACGGAGGGUGCGAGCGUUAAUCGGAAUUACUGGGCGUAAAGCGCGCGUAGGCGGUCUGAUAAGCCGGUUGUGAAAGCCCCGGGCUCAACCUGGGAACGGCAUCCGGAACUGUCAGGCUAGAGUGCAGGAGAGGAAGGUAGAAUUCCCGGUGUAGCGGUGAAAUGCGUAGAGAUCGGGAGGAAUACCAGUGGCGAAGGCGGCCUUCUGGACUGAAACUGACGCUGAGGUGCGAAAGCGUGGGUAACAAACAGGAUUAGAUACCCUGGUAGUC